RNAcentral lists this transfer RNA (72 nucleotides) under Bacteroidota bacterium. RNAcentral describes it as "Bacteroidetes bacterium (biofilm metagenome) tRNA-OTHER". The record is from RNAcentral. Lineage: Bacteria; Pseudomonadati; Bacteroidota.
GCGAUUAUAGUUAGCUCAGUUUGGUAGAGCACCUGAAAGGGAUGUCUAAGGUUCAAAUCCGAUAUAAUCGCA